This 492-nucleotide ribosomal RNA is filed under the name uncultured bacterium. RNAcentral's name for it is "partial 16S ribosomal RNA". It matches the Rfam family "Bacterial small subunit ribosomal RNA", at positions 29 to 507 of the family's 1533-position model. The record is from RNAcentral.
AGUGAACGCUGGCGGUAGGCCUAACACAUGCAAGUCGAACGGCAGCACAGUAAGAGCUUGCUCUUACGGGUGGCGAGUGGCGGACGGGUGAGGAGUACAUCGGAAACUACUUUUUCGUGGGGGAUAACGUAGGGAAACUUACGCUAAUACCGCAUACGACGUACGGGUGAAAGCAGGGGAUCUUCGGACCUUGCGCGAUUGAAUGAGCCGAUGUCGGAUUAGCUAGUUGGCGGGGUAAAGGCCCACCAAGGCGACGAUCCGUAGCUGGUCUGAGAGGAUGAUCAGCCACACUGGAACUGAGACACGGUCCAGACUCCUACGGGAGGCAGCAGUGGGGAAUAUUGGACAAUGGGCGAAAGCCUGAUCCAGCCAUGCCGCGUGAGUGAAGAAGGCCUUCGGAUUGUAAAGCCCUUUUGUUGGGGAAGAAAAGCAGCAGGUUAAUACCCCGCUGUUCUGACGGUACCCAAAGAAUAAGCACCGGCUAACUUCGUG